CGGAGGUGCAAGCGUUAUCCGGAUUCACUGGGUUUAAAGGGUGCGUAGGUGGGCAGGUAAGUCAGUGGUGAAAUCUCCGGGCUUAACCCGGAAACUGCCAUUGAUACUAUUUGUCUUGAAUACUGUGGAGGUCAGCGGAAUAUGUCAUGUAGCGGUGAAAUGCUUAGAUAUGACAUAGAACACCAAUUGCGAAGGCAGCUGGCUACACAAAUAUUGACACUGAGGCACGAAAGCGUGGGGAUCAAACAGGAUUAGAUACCCUGGUAGUCCACGCCCUAAACUAUGGAUACUCGACAUUUGCGAUAAACUGCAAGUGUCUGAGCGAAAGCAUUAAGUAUCCCACCUGGGAAGUACGAUCGCAAGAUUG
RNAcentral lists this ribosomal RNA (367 nucleotides) under uncultured organism. RNAcentral describes it as "bacterial SSU rRNA". It matches the Rfam family "Bacterial small subunit ribosomal RNA", at positions 527 to 896 of the family's 1533-position model. The record is from RNAcentral.